AUGGCCAAGGAUGGAGCAGGAGGCGGGCCCGACUGGAACGGCCUGCUCAAGUGGAGCCUCGCCCACGGCAGCGACGGCACCAACCCGCCCCGCGCGCUCAGCGAGGAGGACAGGAAAUGGUUUAUGGAGGCGAUGCAGGCGAACACAAUCGAUGUCGUCGGCAGGAUGAAGGAGAUAGCCCAGGUGAUGAAAACCCCCAAUGAUGUGUUGCAGUCUCAUGGCGUGACUCCAGAGAACAUUGAAGGUACCUUCUCAGAUAUGCUUGAUGAGUUACAAGAGCACGUGGAAUCCAUUGAUAUGGCAAAUGAUCUUCAUUCUAUUGGUGGACUAGAUCCUCUACUUGGUUACUUGAAAAAUUCACAUGCUGGCAUCCGAGCAAAGGCAGCAGAAGUUGUCAGUACGGUUGUCCAGAAUAACCCGAAAAGCCAGCAACUUGUCAUGGAAUCUAAUGGACUGGAGCCGCUAUUGACAAACUUCAGGUCUGAUCCUAGCACGACUGCACGCACAAAAGCUCUUGGAGCUAUCUCUUCUCUGAUUCGCAAUAACCAGUCCGGUCUUGCUGCAUUUCGUCUAGGAAAUGGACAUGCUGCACUGAAAGAUGCACUUGGUUCUGAUGAUGCUAGACUUCAGAGGAAAGCUCUGCAUCUCACACAGUACCUGCUGAACAAUAAGGCGGAUAGGAACGUCGCUGCAGAGAUUGGUCUUCCGAAUCAACUGAUACACCUCGCAUCCAGUGACGAUUCUGGAGUCCGGGAGGCUGCCCUGGGCGGCCUUCUUGAGCUGGCACGCGACAAGACACCAGCUGCCAGCAACGCUCUACCUGAUCAGGACAAGCUGAAAGACGUCCUGAAGAGCCGAAUCGAAGGCAUCAGCGCAAUGGACGCCGACGACCUCCAAGCAGCCCGUGAGGAGCGGCAACUGGUGGACUCCCUCUGGAAGGAGUGCUACGGCGAGCCGUCGUCUCUCAGGGAGAAGGGCCUGGUGGUGCUCCCGGGGGAGGACGCGCCGCAGCAGCCGCCGCCGGACGUCGCGGGGAAGAUGUUCGAGCCGCCGCUCCGCUCGUGGGCCGCGCCGAGGCCUGCUCCAGCGGAGGACUCCGAUUCGGGCAGCGGGAAGAAGGAUCCGCCCCUGCUGCUAGGGCCGUGA
RNAcentral lists this ribosomal RNA (1146 nucleotides) under Triticum aestivum (bread wheat). Its description in RNAcentral is "partial small subunit ribosomal RNA". Lineage: Eukaryota; Viridiplantae; Streptophyta; Magnoliopsida; Poales; Poaceae. The record is from RNAcentral.